ACAAGGAAAAAUAUCGUUUUUUUAUUUAUUUAUUUUUGCUUUCGAAACCACCCAUUCAAUUAAUUAAAAUAUAAUAUAGCGUAAAAGUAAGAAAUGUGUUUUCAAAUGUGUUUGAAUAACAUUUUUGCGUGCCUCUAAACUGGCCGGCCUUCUGAGACCUACCCUACAAGAGCUACCCCUAAUGAGAAUGCAUCAUCCUUUGUUCCAAGAUCAGCGAGAGCCCUUCCGGUGCUGAUAGGGCUUCGCAGUGUGAGUCAUGUCCAUUUGUAAAUUGGAUUUAGGAGGUCCAUAGGCCUUUGACCCAAAAGUUAUUAGCGAAAAUAAUUAUAGAGUUAACCAGGACACUGAAUUAAAAGUGAGUAAUUAUAAAUAAUAAUUUGACUUCCUUUUUCUUCUUAUUUUUCCGGACAAAUGACUAUGACUCAACGGAAACAAAUACUUUGCAUUGCCACAGACUAACCAGUAGGUGGUACUGUAAUGUCCCGCGAGAGCAGGGAAUGCUUAUUUUUGAAGAAUGACCUCAUCCUAACGUUACUGUAUCUCUCCUUCCGUAAUUUGAUGUCAAGAAUUGAACGACGAGCACUCAAAGGUCGGUCCACAUGCUAAGCACCAUAUUAAGAGCCAGUGUCACCGCGUGCGCGCACACCACCAGUCUCUCUCUCUCUCCCUCUCUCCUCCAUAACGCUGAGCCCUCCCUCCUCCUGCACACUCACCGCCUGGCUCGCUUCACGUGUGGACGCUCUCCCUCAGCUCUGUGGAAAUCACCGGUAAGGCCUGAUUUAUCUGCCUUGUUUUCUACAUUUCUCUCUCGCUCCUUCUCUCUCUGUCUCUGUCUCUCUCUCUCCCUGUGCAGAUAUAUAUAUAUACAAUAUAUAUAUAUGUAUAGUAUGCCUUUCUCUCAAGCUAUCUGUUUGUCAGUCUGUCUACCUCUCCCUCCAUUUCUGUGUGAUUAUCUUCCCCUCUGGUGCUCAGCAACAAAGGAUGGGCUGGGUGUGGCUGGAGCAGCACGAGCAAAUGACAUGUACCGUUCAUGA
RNAcentral lists this long non-coding RNA (1034 nucleotides) under Gadus morhua (Atlantic cod). RNAcentral describes it as "lncRNA (ENSGMOG00000034331.1)". The record is from RNAcentral. Lineage: Eukaryota; Metazoa; Chordata; Actinopteri; Gadiformes; Gadidae.